GAAUGCAUUGUGACUCGACUGGAGU
This 25-nucleotide non-coding RNA is filed under the name Cricetulus griseus (Chinese hamster). Lineage: Eukaryota; Metazoa; Chordata; Mammalia; Rodentia; Cricetidae. The record is from RNAcentral.